Long non-coding RNA from Ictalurus furcatus (blue catfish), 840 nucleotides. RefSeq lists it as uncharacterized. The transcript is spliced from 3 exons. NCBI's taxonomy places the organism in Eukaryota, Metazoa, Chordata, Actinopteri, Siluriformes, Ictaluridae. The record is from RefSeq and is a predicted model, not a curated record.
CACACACACACACUCUUCAGAAAAUCUCGCACAAGCCUUUUCUGUGUGAUUCCAUGUGUUUGUUUGUUUGUGCUACUGUUAAAGUUUUGGGUUUUUUUUUUUCUUUUCUUCUUGAGUUUAUUUAAGUCUGUUUGGAGAUUACCUGGCCUGGUUUCAACCGCCAUUUUGGAUUUAUCUGAUUGACUACCUCCUGGCUUUUAAAACCCACCCUGCUCCUUCUUCCCUCCAGCUCCCUGCUUGAUACCUGACAGUUUGUUUGCUGGACUUGGCGUCAUUGUGCCGUCAUUUUCUGAGGGAAAACCCUGGGAAUACGAUCGCUACGCUGGACUACGUUCCCCACAAGUCAACAUGACCGUGUUUUCCUCGAAGGUGAAAAAGCGACCAUAGUGGGACUGGAGUUUUUCAACUCGGAGGCGAAAAUCUUUUUCGAGGAAAACCCCGUCUCGUGAUUUAUUUUUUAUUUAUUUAUUUUUUGAAAUUUUGUUUUAUUUAUUAAAUUUUUUAUCUCGCAAAUCUGUGCCGUCAUUUGUGACGAAUAAAACUGUCUUCUGACAGAUCAGACUGUUCAACAAAACCGGCCUUAUGACUGUUACUUAAGACUGUUAAGACUCCCUUUCUACUGUCCUCCGUUCACUUUUUAAGGAUUUUACCGUCGGUAACCUUUGAGGUCAACGUCCCGUCUAUAAAAAAAAAAAAAAUUUUUUUUUAAAUAAUAAUAAUAAAUGAAAGAUCUUUUACGCUAACCGUGGGAUGUACUUCGGAUAUACAGACCUUUUGAACCAAAGCUAUUUUUUUCCAAUGCUUUUCUAUUGCACAGGAUUAUAAACCCCCCCCCUCACC